RNAcentral lists this ribosomal RNA (253 nucleotides) under uncultured bacterium. RNAcentral's name for it is "partial 16S ribosomal RNA". It matches the Rfam family "Bacterial small subunit ribosomal RNA", at positions 524 to 776 of the family's 1533-position model. The record is from RNAcentral.
UACGUAGGGUGCAAGCGUUGUCCGGAAUUAUUGGGCGUAAAGAGCUCGUAGGCGGUUCGUCGCGUCGGCUGUGAAAACCUGAGGCUCAACCUCAGGCCUGCAGUCGAUACGGGCGGACUAGAGUGCGGUAGGGGAGAUUGGAAUUCCUGGUGUAGCGGUGGAAUGCGCAGAUAUCAGGAGGAACACCAAUGGCGAAGGCAGAUCUCUGGGCCGUAACUGACGCUGAGGAGCGAAAGCAUGGGGAGCGAACAGG